Molecule: ribosomal RNA, 397 nt
Filed under: Coconut lethal yellowing phytoplasma
Lineage: Bacteria; Bacillati; Mycoplasmatota; Mollicutes; Acholeplasmatales; Acholeplasmataceae
Description: bacterial SSU rRNA
Rfam family: Bacterial small subunit ribosomal RNA
Source: RNAcentral
ACUCCGCCUGAGUAGUACGUACGCAAGUAUGAAACUUAAAGGAAUUGACGGGAUCCCGCACAAGCGGUGGAUCAUGUUGUUUAAUUCGAAGAUACACGAAAAACCUUACCAGGUCUUGACAUAUUCUGCGAAGCUAUAGAAAUAUAGUAGAGGUUACCAGAAAUACAGGUGGUGCAUGGUUGUCGUCAGCUCGUGUCGUGAGAUGUUAGGUUAAGUUCUAAAACGAGCGCAACCCUUAUCGUUAGUUACCAGCAUGUUAUGAUGGGGACUUUAGCGAGACUGCCAAUGAAAAAUUGGAGGAAGGUGAGGAUUACGUCAAAUCAUCAUGCCCCUUAUGAUCUGGGCUACAAACGUGAUACAAUGGCUAUUACAAAGAGUAGCUGAAACGCGAGUUUUU